AUUGAACGCUGGCGGCAUGCUUUACACAUGCAAGUCGAACGGCAGCGGGGGCUUCGGCCUGCCGGCGAGUGGCGAACGGGUGAGUAAUGCAUCGGAACGUACCCAUGUCGUGGGGGAUAACGUAGCGAAAGCUACGCUAAUACCGCAUACGCCCCGAGGGGGAAAGCGGGGGAUUCUUCGGAACCUCGCGCGAUUGGAGCGGCCGAUGUCGGAUUAGCUAGUAGGUGAGGUAAAGGCUCACCUAGGCGACGAUCCGUAGCGGGUCUGAGAGGAUGAUCCGCCACACUGGGACUGAGACACGGCCCAGACUCCUACGGGAGGCAGCAGUGGGGAAUUUUGGACAAUGGGCGAAAGCCUGAUCCAGCCAUGCCGCGUGAGUGAAGAAGGCCUCGGUGUAAGCUCUUUGUCUAGGGAAGAACAGCAGCUCUAACACAGUCUGCGAAUGACGGUACCUGAAGAAUAAGCACCGGCUAACUACGUGCCA
Molecule: ribosomal RNA, 484 nt
Filed under: uncultured bacterium
Lineage: Bacteria
Description: bacterial SSU rRNA
Rfam family: Bacterial small subunit ribosomal RNA
Source: RNAcentral